GCAUCGUUUACAGCCGGGACUACAGGGGUAUCUAAUCCCUUUUGCUGCCCCGGCUUUCGCCUCUCACCGUCGGGCGGGAGAGGCGGGGGGUACUCCCGGAGUAGGGGCGAAAUCCGUAGAUCCCGGGAGGACCACCAGUGGCGAAGGCGCCCCGCUAGAACGCGCCCGACGGUGAGAGGCGAAAGCCGGGGCAGCAAAAGGGAUUAGAUACCCCUGUAGUCCCGGCUGUAAACGAUGCCGGCUAGGUGUCGCGUGGGCUUAGAGCCCACGCGGUGCCGCAGGGAAGCCGUUAAGCCGGCCGCCUGGGGAGUACGGCCGCAAGGCUGAAACUUAAAGGAAUAGGCGGGGGGGCACACAAGGGGUGGGGUGUGCGGUUUAAUGGGACCCAACACCGGAAACCUUACCGGGAGCGACAGCAGGAUGAUGGUCAGGCUGAAGACCUUACCGGACACGCUGAGAGGAGGUGCAUGGCUGCCGUCAGCUCGUGCCGUGAGGUAUCCUGUUAAGUCAGGAAACGAGCGCGACCCGCACCCGUAGUUACGACGGAGAGGGUUUCCUCUCCGGUACACUACGGGGACUGCCGGGGAAACCCGGAGGAAGGCGCGGGCGACGGCAAGUCCGCAUGCCCCUAAUCUCCUGGGCUACACGCGCGCAACAAUGGGCGGGACAAUGGGAACCGACCCCGAAAGGGGAAGGAAAUCCCAAAAACCCGCUCUCAGUCCAGAUUGAGGGCUGUAACUCGCCCUCAUGACGGUGGAAUCCCUAGUAAUCGGGGGUCACUAUUCCCCCGGUGAAUACGUCCCUGCCCCUUGCACUCACCGCCCGUCAAGCCAACCGAGUCGUUUCCUGGUGAGGCCCGUUAAAGCGGGUCGAACCGGGAAACGGCGAGGGGGGCUAAGUCGUCACAAGGUAGCCGUAGGGGAACCUGCGGCUG
This 934-nucleotide ribosomal RNA is filed under the name hot springs metagenome. Its description in RNAcentral is "bacterial SSU rRNA". It matches the Rfam family "Archaeal small subunit ribosomal RNA", at positions 512 to 1467 of the family's 1478-position model. The record is from RNAcentral.